Molecule: ribosomal RNA, 241 nt
Filed under: uncultured bacterium
Lineage: Bacteria
Description: partial 16S ribosomal RNA
Rfam family: Bacterial small subunit ribosomal RNA
Source: RNAcentral
UACGUAGGGGGCAAGCGUUGUCCGGAUUUAUUGGGCGUAAAGCGCUCGCAGGUGGUUCGUUGCGUCGUGCGUGAAAGAACCCCGGCUCAACUGGGGGAUGUCGUGCGAUACGGGCGGACUGGAGGCCAGUAGGGGGAUGCGGAAUUCCGGGUGUAGGUGGUGGAAUGCGUAGAGAAUCCGGAGGAACACCAGCGGCGAAGGCGGAGCAUCCGUGGAACCAGAAAGUGAGCAGCCUGAGGCU